GGGGACGAUAACAAAUGCUCUUCGGUAUCAUUUUGUACCAAACGACGUCCGCCGACACCGUUUGAUAUCAAUUAGUUACAUCUCGUUGUUGCCCUGUCACGGCAGAGGCCGCGGGUUCGAGUCCCGUCGUCCCCGCCA
This 138-nucleotide transfer RNA is filed under the name Terriglobia bacterium. Its description in RNAcentral is "tRNA-Asp". The record is from RNAcentral. Lineage: Bacteria; Pseudomonadati; Acidobacteriota; Terriglobia.